UUGGGCCUUCGUGUUACACCACUGGCUUUCCUGGGUCUCCAGCUGGCACAUGCCAGAUCGUGGGAAUUCUCAGACACCAUAAUCACGUGCUUCAGUCAGGUGUCAGAAACUCAACCCUGCAGCCCUCAAGCCCCAGAGAUGAUGCCCUACACCUCUCAGCUCAACAUGGGGAGAGAAGACACAGGCAAAAGGCAGAGCAACUGUGCUUGUGCACAAAGGCCUCUCUUGUGGACUCUGAACCCCAAGUGAAUUCUUGGAGCAGAGACACCUGGCCUGGAUCCAGUCUGCCAGCACCUAUCAGGCGUCCUCCCUGUGGCAGGAGGGAGAGAGGCAACUGUGAAA
Homo sapiens (human) is the source of this 342-nucleotide long non-coding RNA. RefSeq lists it as uncharacterized. The transcript is spliced from 3 exons. NCBI's taxonomy places the organism in Eukaryota, Metazoa, Chordata, Mammalia, Primates, Hominidae. The record is from RefSeq and is a predicted model, not a curated record.